CAUUUUUAAGAAAUUAAUAACUCCAUUGAAUUUUAUUAAUCUCUUUUGUGGUGGCAAAAAAUCGGAAGCCCCGACUGUUUACUAAAAACACAGCUAUCUGCAACGAUGUAAAUCAUAGUAUAGGUAGUGAGGUUUGCCCGAUGCCAUUAAUAUAAGAGAAGUGAUGGGUAACUGUUAAUUAUCGAAAAUCUGGUUAAUAGCGGUCUUAACUAUGAGGAUCCUAAGGUAGCAAAAUAAAUUGGCCAUUAAAUGUGGUCCGGUAUCAAUAAUUUAACGAUGGCUUCACUGUCUCUACAACUUGCUCAGUGAAAUUGAAUUACCCGUGCAGAUGCGGG
RNAcentral lists this ribosomal RNA (335 nucleotides) under Calostoma cinnabarinum. RNAcentral describes it as "LSU rRNA". It matches the Rfam family "Bacterial large subunit ribosomal RNA", at positions 1731 to 2065 of the family's 2925-position model. Lineage: Eukaryota; Fungi; Basidiomycota; Agaricomycetes; Boletales; Calostomataceae. The record is from RNAcentral.